This is a long non-coding RNA of Homo sapiens (human), 910 nucleotides long. RefSeq lists it as uncharacterized. NCBI's taxonomy places the organism in Eukaryota, Metazoa, Chordata, Mammalia, Primates, Hominidae. The record is from RefSeq and is a predicted model, not a curated record. The transcript has 2 exons.
UCCCAUGACUGCCUUGGCUCUAUGCUCAGCUUGAGCCUGAAUCAGGCGUGCUGUGAGUGGCUUCUGUAUAGGGCGCAGGCGUCUAGAAUAGGCGAAGGUUGGUGGUGCCCAAAACCUCAGAGAUGCCAGCAAUCGCGGAGCCCCAAGUGGUGUUACAGCUCUUGCUUGGGGAGUCCCAAGGUUUGGGCCCCAAGAAAAGUUGCAGCUCUUUACUCUCGUAGCUCAGCCAGUGGGAGCGUGUUAUAGCUGUCUUUCUCCUGUAGUCCGGUGAGCAGGAAUGUGUUAUAGCUCUUUCAUUCCAGCCGCCCACAGCUGAGUGAGUUCCAAGUUCUUGUCCUGUGACCAAGAGGAAUAAGGUGUGUGGACACUGGAGAGUAAGUAAGGCAGAGAAGAAUUUUAUUGAGCGACAGAAGGAAAGCCCUCAACUGUGAAAAGGGACCCUGAAAGUGGGUUGUCAUCUGUGAGGCUGAGUCUGGGCUUGUCUGGGUUUACAAUGGGAGAAUGUGUGCUGAUUGGUCCAUAGGUGUUCUUUGAAAAAAUCACCAUCCAAUUGGUUAAAAAGCAUCAUCCGGAAGGAACCAAUCAAGAGAGAGAAGGUCUGAUAAAUUGACCCCAGUGCUCAUCUAUUAAUUCAAAAGAAGCUUUGUGCUUGCAUCAGCGCUGCCUGACACAGGGGAAAAUGAGAAAUGCGGCCAUUGAUAUACAGAGAACGGCAAUGUGGCUAAACUGAAGAGAGUAGGCUUUUGGCCAGCUACUUCCAACAUGGCUCAUUUCAAAUUCUCACUUGUUCAACUAAAACAAAAUAUUAAUGAAUCUGCUGAAUAAAGCUUAUAAAUGCUGAAGAAUUAAUAAGGGUGAAAUCUGAAGGGCAUAAGGAUAUUUUUUUCAAUAAAUUCUCUUUGACCACUCA